GCCUACGGGAGGCAGCAGUGAGGAAUAUUAGUCAAUGGGCGGAAGCCUGAACCAGCCAAGUCGCGUGAGGGAAUAAGGCCCUACGGGUCGUAAACCUCUUUUGCCGGAGAGCAAGGGCGGGGACGUGUCCCGGCCCGGAGAGUACCCGGAGAAAAAGCAUCGGCUAACUCCGUGCCAGCAGCCGCGGUAAUACGGAGGAUGCGAGCGUUAUCCGGAUUUAUUGGGUUUAAAGGGUGCGUAGGCGGGCUUUUAAGUCAGCGGUAAAAAUUCGGGGCUCAACCCCGGCCGGCCGUUGAAACUGGGGG
Molecule: ribosomal RNA, 305 nt
Filed under: uncultured bacterium
Lineage: Bacteria
Description: bacterial SSU rRNA
Rfam family: Bacterial small subunit ribosomal RNA
Source: RNAcentral